AGUGAACGCUGGCGGUAGGCCUAACACAUGCAAGUCGAACGGCAGCACAGUAAGAGCUUGCUCUUACGGGUGGCGAGUGGCGGACGGGUGAGGAAUACAUCGGAAUCUACUUUUUCGUGGGGGAUAACGUAGGGAAACUUACGCUAAUUCCGCAUACGACCUACGGGUGAAAGCAGGGGAUCUUCGGACCUUGCGCGAUUGAAUGAGCCGAUGUCGGAUUAGCUAGUUGGCGGGGUAAAGGCCCACCAAGGCGACGAUCCGUAGCUGGUCUGAGAGGAUGAUCAGCCACACUGGAACUGAGACACGGUCCAGACUCCUACGGGAGGCAGCAGUGGGGAAUAUUGGACAAAGGGCGCAAGCCUGAUCCAGCCAUACCGCGUGGGUGAAGAAGGCCUUCGGGUUGUAAAGCCCUUUUGUUGGGAAAGAAAAGCAGCAGGUUAAUACCCCGCUGUUCUGACGGUACCCAAAGAAUAAGCACCGGCUAACUUCGUG
Molecule: ribosomal RNA, 492 nt
Filed under: uncultured bacterium
Lineage: Bacteria
Description: partial 16S ribosomal RNA
Rfam family: Bacterial small subunit ribosomal RNA
Source: RNAcentral